AGUGAACGCUGGCGGUAGGCCUAACACAUGCAAGUCGAACGGCAGCACAGUAAGAGCUUGCUCUUACGGGUGGCGAGUGGCGGACGGGUGAGGAAUACAUCGGAAUCUACUUUUUCGUGGGGGAUAACGUAGGGAAACUUACGCUAAUACCGCAUACGACCUACGGGUGAAAGCAGGGGAUCUUCGGACCUUGCGCGAUUGAAUGAGCCGAUGUCGGAUUAGCUAGUUGGCGGGGUAAAGGCCCACCAAGGCGACGAUCCGUAGCUGGUCUGAGAGGAUGAUCAGCCACACUGGAACUGAGACACGGUCCAGACUCCUACGGGAGGCAGCAGUGGGGAAUAUUGGACAAUGGGCGCAAGCCUAAUCCAGCCAUACCGCGUGGGUGAAGAAGGCCUUCGGGUUGUAAAGCCCUUUUGUUGGGAAAGAAAAGCAGCAGGUUAAUACCCCGCUGUUCUGACAGUACCCAAAGAAUAAGCACCGGCUAACUUCGUG
RNAcentral lists this ribosomal RNA (492 nucleotides) under uncultured bacterium. RNAcentral describes it as "partial 16S ribosomal RNA". It matches the Rfam family "Bacterial small subunit ribosomal RNA", at positions 29 to 507 of the family's 1533-position model. The record is from RNAcentral.